RNAcentral lists this ribosomal RNA (389 nucleotides) under uncultured bacterium. RNAcentral describes it as "bacterial SSU rRNA". It matches the Rfam family "Bacterial small subunit ribosomal RNA", at positions 28 to 417 of the family's 1533-position model. The record is from RNAcentral.
GACGAACGCUGGCGGCGUGCUUAACACAUGCAAGUCGAACGGUAAGGCCCCUUCGGGGGUACGACGAGUGGCGAACGGGUGAGUAACACGUGAGCAACCUGCCCUUGACUUCGGAAUACCAGCUGGAAACAGCUGCUAAUACCGGAUAUGACUCCGACCGUCCUCGGUCGGGGUGGAAAGCUCCGGCGGUCAGGGAUGGGCUCGCGGCCUAUCAGCUUGUUGGUGAGGUAAUGGCUCACCAAGGCUUCGACGGGUAGCCGGCCUGAGAGGGCGACCGGCCACACUGGGACUGAGAUACGGCCCAGACUCCUACGGGAGGGCAGCAGUGGGGAAUAUUGCACAAUGGGCGCAAGCCUGAUGCAGCAACGCCGCGUGCGGGAUGACGGCCU